GAUGAACGCUGGCGGCGUGCCUAAUACAUGCAAGUCGAGCGAACGUACGAGAAGCUUUCUUCUCUGAUGUUAGCGGCGGACGGGUGAGUAACACUUGGAUAACCUACCUAUAAGACUGGGAUAACUUCGGGAAACCGGAGCUAAUACCGGAUGAUAUUUUGAACCGCAUGGUUCAAAAGUGAAAGACGGUCUUGCUGUCACUUAUAGAUGGAUCCGCGCUGCAUUAGCUAGUUGGUAAGGUAACGGCUUACCAAGGCAACGAUGCAUAGCCGACCUGAGAGGGUGAUCGGCCACACUGGAACUGAGACACGGUCCAGACUCCUACGGGAGGCAGCAGUAGGGAAGCUUCCGCAAUGGGCGAAAGCCUGACGGAGCAACGACGCGUGAGUGAUGAAGGUCUUCGGAUCGUAAAAAUCUGUUAUUAGGGAAGAACAUAUGUGUAAGUAACUGUGCACAUCUUGACGGUACCUAAUCAGAAAGCCACGGCUAACUACGUG
RNAcentral lists this ribosomal RNA (497 nucleotides) under uncultured bacterium. RNAcentral's name for it is "partial 16S ribosomal RNA". It matches the Rfam family "Bacterial small subunit ribosomal RNA", at positions 28 to 507 of the family's 1533-position model. The record is from RNAcentral.